GGCUUAACACAUGCAAGUCGAGGGGCAGCGGGAAGAAAGCUUGCUUUCUUUGCCGGCGACUGGCGCACGGGUGAGUAACGCGUAUCCAACCUUCCCCUUAGUAGGGCAUAGCCCGGCGAAAGUCGGAUUAAUACCCUAUGUUUUCCAAUGAGGACAUCUGAGCUGGAACAAAGAUUCAUCGCUAAGGGAUGGGGAUGCGUCUGAUUAGGUAGUAGGCGGGGUAACGGCCCACCUAGCCUGCGAUCAGUAGGGGUUCUGAGAGGAAGGUCCCCCACAUUGGAACUGAGACACGGUCCAAACUCCUACGGGAGGCAGCAGUGAGGAAUAUUGGUCAAUGGGCGCGAGCCUGAACCAGCCAAGUAGCGUGCAGGAUGACGGCCCUAUGGGUUGUAAACUGCUUUUAUACAGGGAUAAAGUGCACCACGUGUGGUGUUUUGUAGGUACUGUAUGAAUAAGGACCGGCUAAUUCCGUGCCAGCAGCCGCGGUAAUACGGAAGGUCCGGGCGUUAUCCGGAUUUAUUGGGUUUAAAGGGAGCGCAGGCUGAUUGUUAAGCGUGACGUGAAAUGUAGCCGCUCAACGGCUGCACUGCGUCGCGAACUGGCAGUCUUGAGUGAGUACGACGUCAGCGGAAUUCGUG
Molecule: ribosomal RNA, 638 nt
Filed under: uncultured rumen bacterium
Lineage: Bacteria
Description: bacterial SSU rRNA
Rfam family: Bacterial small subunit ribosomal RNA
Source: RNAcentral